GACGAACGCUGGCGGCGUGCUUAACACAUGCAAGUCGAACGGAAAGGCCCUGCUUUUGUGGGGUGCUCGAGUGGCGAACGGGUGAGUAACACGUGAGUAACCUGCCCUUGACUUUGGGAUAACUUCAGGAAACUGGGGCUAAUACCGGAUAGGAGCUCCUGCUGCAUGGUGGGGGUUGGAAAGUUUCGGCGGUUGGGGAUGGACUCGCGGCUUAUCAGCUUGUUGGUGGGGUAGUGGCUUACCAAGGCUUUGACGGGUAGCCGGCCUGAGAGGGUGACCGGCCAAAUUGGGACUGAGAUACGGCCCAGACUCCUACGGGAGGCAGCAGUGUGGAAUAUUGCACAAUGGGCGGAAGCCUGAUGCAGCAACGCCGCGUGCGGGAUGACGGCCUUCGGGUUGUAAACCGCUUUCGCCUGUGACGAAGCGUGAGUGACGGUAAUGGGUAAAGAGGCACCGGCUAACUACGUG
This 468-nucleotide ribosomal RNA is filed under the name uncultured bacterium. RNAcentral's name for it is "partial 16S ribosomal RNA". It matches the Rfam family "Bacterial small subunit ribosomal RNA", at positions 28 to 507 of the family's 1533-position model. The record is from RNAcentral.